Molecule: non-coding RNA, 253 nt
Filed under: uncultured bacterium
Lineage: Bacteria
Also listed under: 2 other names
Description: partial 16S ribosomal RNA
Rfam family: Bacterial small subunit ribosomal RNA
Source: RNAcentral
UACGAAGGGUGCAAGCGUUAAUCGGAAUUACUGGGCGUAAAGCGUGCGUAGGCGGUUAUUUAAGUCUGUUGUGAAAUCCCCGGGCUCAACCUGGGAAUGGCAAUGGAUACUGGAUAGCUAGAGUGUGAUAGAGGAUGGUGGAAUUCCCGGUGUAGCGGUGAAAUGCGUAGAGAUCGGGAGGAACAUCAGUGGCGAAGGCGGCCAUCUGGAUCAACACUGACGCUGAGGCACGAAAGCGUGGGGAGCAAACAGG